Salmo salar (Atlantic salmon) is the source of this 54-nucleotide non-coding RNA. Lineage: Eukaryota; Metazoa; Chordata; Actinopteri; Salmoniformes; Salmonidae. The record is from Rfam.
UGCACUCACUACUGUAAGUCGCUCUGGAUAAGAACGUCUGUUAAAUGACUAAAA